GACAAGCAAACCUUCCAUCGGGUUAAAAGUGAAAGCUGCCAAAAACUGGCGGAAUGCUCUCGAAACCAAUUCACUUGAGUGAGACAGAGGAGAGUGGAAUUUCGUGUGUAGGGGUGAAAUCCGGAGAUCUACGAAGGAACGCCAAAAACAAAGCCAACUCUCUGGGUCCCUACCAACGCUGAGGUGCGAAAGCAUGGGGAGCGAACAGGAUUAGAUACUCUGGUGGUCCUUUACCUUU
This 238-nucleotide non-coding RNA is filed under the name Nicotiana sylvestris (wood tobacco). RNAcentral describes it as "Bacterial small subunit ribosomal RNA". It matches the Rfam family "Bacterial small subunit ribosomal RNA", at positions 566 to 804 of the family's 1533-position model. Lineage: Eukaryota; Viridiplantae; Streptophyta; Magnoliopsida; Solanales; Solanaceae. The record is from Rfam by way of RNAcentral. RNAcentral also lists the same sequence under 1 other name.